CCAUCUUGGGUGGAUUGACUUGGGCUGAAGGACACCAAGAAGGGCUCAGUAAGUCUUGCUCAUCAAUGGAAACGGUAUCUCUGGUAGGGGCCAUCCUGAUGAGCCUGACGGGAGGCAAGUGCUGACAGAGCGUUGCACUGCCUUUACUGCCACUAUUGCUGCCUGUGUUCGUCAUGGUCUGGACAUGAUCCACACGCAUCAUCAUAAACUGGGCAAAGUAGAAGAGUCUAUGUUUCUGAUGCAAAGGCUACCACUGCAUGUCAGACUUGGACUGCUGACAAAAAGUGACACAUUCAUUUCACAGGGAGUAAGGAUACAUUGUGUGAGUGUGGUCCCCACCCACUCCUGGCAUUUUGAUUACAUUGGACUUCUGACCCCGUCUCAGGGCUAUUGGUAAUGGCUCGCUGCUCCUGACCCUUUUUCAGCUUUGGUGUUAUUGGUCUAGUCCAAUCAACUGACUCUAACCACACCACUGUGGCCCCUGAACACUAAUCUGUGUCAUGCUUUUGGCUUUCUGGUCCAUUUACAGUCUGACAAAGGUACACUUGUUAUUGCAAAGGUCACUCAAUAAUGGGCUACUGGCUAAGGUAUUUAGAGCACUUUCCAUGCUGCUAUCCUUAGACCUCUGGUGUUGUUGAGCGUGGGUAACGGUCACUUCAAAAAUCAACUCAAAAAGACCUCUUCUUCUAUAUCGCUCACCUCCUCCUAGUUCACAUGCUUUAAUACUAAGUAUUGUGG
This is a long non-coding RNA of Bos taurus (domestic cattle), 738 nucleotides long. NCBI's taxonomy places the organism in Eukaryota, Metazoa, Chordata, Mammalia, Artiodactyla, Bovidae. The record is from Ensembl.